GAUUAAGCCAUGCAUGUCUAAGUAUAAGCAAUUAUACAGCGAAACUGCGAACGGCUCAUUAUAUAAGUUAUCGUUUAUUUGAUAGUACCUUACUACUUGGAUAACCGUGGUAAUUCUAGAGCUAAUACAUGCUGAAAAUCCCGACUCCGGAAGGGAUGUAUUUAUUAGAUUCAAAGCCAAUGCCCUCUGGGCUCACUGGUGAUUCAUGAUAACUCUUCGAAUCGCACGGCCUUGCGCCGGCGAUGGUUCAUUCAAAUUUCUUCCCUAUCAACUUUCGAUGUUUGGGUAGUGGCCAAACAUGGUUGCAACGGGUAACGGAGGGUUAGGGCUCGACCCCGGAGAAGGAGCCUGAGAAACGGCUACUACAUCCAAGGAAGGCAGCAGGCGCGCAAAUUACCCAAUCCCGACACGGGGAGGUAGUGACAAUAAAUACUGAUACAGGGCUCUUUUGGGUCUUGUAAUUGGAAUGAGUACAAUUUAAAUCCCUUAACGAGGAACAAUUGGAGGGCAAGUCUGGUGCCAGCAGCCGCGGUAAUUCCAGCCCAAAAGCGUAUAUUAAAGUUGUUGUGGUUAAAAAGCUCGUAGUUGAACCUUGGGCCUGGCUGGCCGGUCCGCCUCACCGCGUGCACUGGUCCGGCCGGGCCUUUCCCUCUGUGGAACCCCAUGCCCUUCGCUGGGCGUGGCGGGGAAACAGGACUUUUACUUUGAAAAAAUUAGAGUGCUCCAGGCAGGCCUAUGCUCGAAUACAUUAGCAUGGAAUAAUGAAAUAGGACGCGCGGUUCUAUUUUGUUGGUUUCUAGGACCGCCGUAAUGAUUAAUAGGGACAGUCGGGGGCAUCAGUAUUCAAUGGUGAGAGGUGAAAUUCUUGGACCUAUUGAAGACUAACUACUGCGAAAGCAUUUGUCAAGGAUGUUUUCAUUAAUCAGGAACGAAAGUUAGGGGAUCGAAGACGAUCAGAUACCGUCGUAGUCUUAACCAUAAACUAUGCCGACUAGGGAUCGGACGAUGUUAUUUUUUGACUCGUUCGGCACCUUACGAGAAAUCAAAGUGCUUGGGCUCCAGGGGGAG
This 1068-nucleotide ribosomal RNA is filed under the name Ophiocordyceps acicularis. RNAcentral's name for it is "SSU rRNA". It matches the Rfam family "Eukaryotic small subunit ribosomal RNA", at positions 42 to 1123 of the family's 1831-position model. The record is from RNAcentral. Lineage: Eukaryota; Fungi; Ascomycota; Sordariomycetes; Hypocreales; Ophiocordycipitaceae.